Passer domesticus (house sparrow) is the source of this 436-nucleotide long non-coding RNA. RefSeq lists it as uncharacterized. The transcript is spliced from 3 exons. The record is from RefSeq and is a predicted model, not a curated record. NCBI's taxonomy places the organism in Eukaryota, Metazoa, Chordata, Aves, Passeriformes, Passeridae.
UUAGGAUUGGCUGCCCCUCCGCAUCCCUAAUGUAAUUAAAACAAGGGGGGAAAAAUUAUCAUGGAGGCAGAGGUUAAUGCAAGUGUUUAGCAGAUGCCUUACAGUAAAAUCUGCAUUAAAAAAAAAAAAAGAAAAAAAGAAAAACCCCAAACAACAAAAAAACCCCAUACAAACUCGUUAAAACUUAAAUAUCGGAUAAUCUCAAACCAGCUUACUGCCUGCGCCUGUGCACCUCCAGCAGCCUUCACCCGAGUGACUGACGCGCCUGAAAUCGGGUUCAUGCUUCUUGAGCUGGUAUGAUCGGAAAGUUAAGAAGCUGGAAAAUGGAGAGGUGAAUGUCAUGUACCUCCCCAGACCUGGAGGGAAACGGAGCUGCGGCCAAAAGGAGUGGGUGUAAAUGCGACAACAAAAAUAAAUACUUUAUAUCACCCUGCAG